This is a non-coding RNA of Oryctolagus cuniculus (rabbit), 362 nucleotides long. The record is from RefSeq and is a predicted model, not a curated record. Lineage: Eukaryota; Metazoa; Chordata; Mammalia; Lagomorpha; Leporidae.
GGGAUCACUGCCCAGGUGUGGGGGAAGAAGUCAACACUGCUGCUAGACAUGAACAAGAUAAAGACCGAGAGUCCAGGAAAAUACCAGGUGGCCUGGAGAGCAGAGCUUGGAGAGAUGAGGUCAUGGGAAAUCUCAGCCACCUGGAGGUUGUGAGAAGGGCCAGAGUGCAGAGUGAGGGGUCGAUGCCGACCAAGAGCUAGCUGGGAGCAAAAUCAGGUUGGACUACGAUAUGCAUGGAAUGAAUUGAGGGUGGGGGCCAUCCAAAUUAUGCCCUAUUUUACUAUUUGUGAUCUCAUAUUUCUGCCUUUUUUACUUUUUAUUUUGACUAUGCCAAUGUAUCUCAACAAUCAGGAAUGAAUAGU